AUUUGUUUCUGUAACUGUCACGUACAUUUAUAUAUGAGAUUUACAGGUCUUUUUAUCUGUCACUUCAUUCAAGAGCUGAGAGCAUUUAAUUAAGUUAUGCUUUCACAAAACACUUCUUGUUCUAAAGAAUAAAAUAGUCAUGUGAAAUAAAACAUGUCUCUUUUUUACUUUCUUAUUAAGAUUGCAAGGCACACUUCCAAAUGACUGGACACACCUAGACCCUGCUUCAACAGGCAGCUUCCAAUUCAGCACCUAACAAAGCUCAUACCACUAUUUUUAUUGGUGCAACAGCAGAUGCCUGCAUAGAUACCUCGAAAAUUGGUCUUAAAACAUAAAAUAGAAACUAUUUCUUCACUGACUUCCGACUAUGUUCAAACCUAGGGCUGAGACCUCAGAACCACUUCUACGACCAAAGAGCCUAUUCAGAAGGUACAGUUUCAUAAUGCUAUGCUGUCAUUUUGAGAAACCACCGUUUUACUUAGUCUUCUUGUACACCAAAAACCUUAGACCAAAGCAUAAAAUGCAGCAGUGUUCAAUCUUUUAUCAUUACACUGCAAUAAAUAUUCUUAAAUUUAGCACCAAA
Molecule: long non-coding RNA, 583 nt
Organism: Rana temporaria (common frog)
Lineage: Eukaryota; Metazoa; Chordata; Amphibia; Anura; Ranidae
Exons: 3
Source: RefSeq, a predicted model, not a curated record